RNAcentral lists this small nuclear RNA (259 nucleotides) under Chinchilla lanigera (long-tailed chinchilla). RNAcentral describes it as "7SK RNA (ENSCLAG00000020729.1)". It matches the Rfam family "7SK RNA", at positions 1 to 276 of the family's 331-position model. From Rfam's summary of the family: 7SK was discovered as an abundant small nuclear RNA in the mid-70s but a possible function has only recently been suggested. Two independent studies have found that 7SK RNA binds the CDK9/cyclin T complex (known as elongation factor P-TEFb). P-TEFb activates transcription by phosphorylating the C-terminal domain of RNA polymerase II. The record is from Rfam by way of RNAcentral. Lineage: Eukaryota; Metazoa; Chordata; Mammalia; Rodentia; Chinchillidae.
GGGUGUGAGGGCGACCUGGCUGCGAGUUCCAUCACCCCACCGAUGGCCAGGGUUGAUUCGGCGAUCUGAUGGGUGUCCCUUCCGCUCUGCCCAGCCUGCGUGUCUCUCAGAGCUGCGCCCUCAGGCUCGGGCGAAGAGGACGAGCACCUGCCGUGGAGGAGGACCGCGUGGCCAAGAGCGCAGGAGCAGCCGCUCCCCUGCCAGGACCCGCGCACACGCUCUCAAGGACCGCGUGGCCAAGAGCUCAGGAGCAGCCGCU